RNAcentral lists this ribosomal RNA (301 nucleotides) under uncultured bacterium. Its description in RNAcentral is "bacterial SSU rRNA". It matches the Rfam family "Bacterial small subunit ribosomal RNA", at positions 333 to 649 of the family's 1533-position model. The record is from RNAcentral.
CGUGUCCUACGGGGGGCAGCAGUGGGGAAUAUUGGGCAAUGGGCGCAAGCCUGACCCAGCGACGCCGCGUGAGGGAAGACGGUCUUCGGAUUGUAAACCUCUUUCAGCAGGGAAGACAAAAGGACGGUACCUGCAGAAGAAGCCACGGCUAACUACGUGCCAGCAGCCGCGGUAAUACGUAGGGAGCGAGCGUUGUCCGGAAUUACUGGGUGUAAAGGGAGCGUAGGCGGGAUUGCAAGUUGGAUGUGAAAACUGCGGGCUCAACCCGGAGCGUGCAUUCAAAACUGCGAUUCUGUAGUGA